AUUGCAAAUAACAUGCAAUAAAGAGUAUGAAAACAUCACAUUCAGAUAUAUUCUUUUAUAUUUUAGAAAGGAAAAAAGGAAACUACAAUCUUCUACAAAUGAAUCAAAUAUGACUGUUAUGAGUCAGUAUGAGUACGCACAGAAUGCAACACAAUAAUAUGCAAAGAGUAACCCGGAUGCCACAUGAAAUCGACAGUUCAGGAGGCAAAACAGUUGGCCAUGCCACGUGGAAGACAAAGGGUCCCAGUCCAAUGUGAAGACACUAUUUCAGUUCAGUGUCAGGAUGACCAAUUCGGGUUGGAUGCUGAAGUGGUUUAUGAUGAAAAAUUCUUUCCCUUACGAAGGUGCAAUCCAUUUGUGACUGGGUCAUAUCACAGGGGACGAGUUCCUGGGCAGAAUCAGGAUACUGGCGUGUCUCCAGGAUUCAUAGCACCUGAUGGCAUGGGCGGCAAUGGCCAAGAGCUGAUGAACAGAGAUGAACGCUAUAAAAAAGAGAAGCGUGUGCAUCCAAAGGGAAAGAAGAAAAAGGUUAAGAGAGGCGAGAACACAGCUUCACCAUUAAAGAGGAAAAUCAUCCAGUCAGCAUCUGACAGUAACGAAAUGUGAUUUGAUUAAUAAGAUAAAUAACACCUAUUUUCUUGUUUAAAGUGAUAGUUCACCCAAAAAUUCUUUCAUUAAUUACUCACCCUCAUGUUGUUUCAAACCCGUAAGACCUUUGUUCACCUUUGGGACACAAACUAAGUUAUUUUUGAUGAAAUGCGAGAGCUGUCUGACCCUGAAUAGACAGCAACGGAACUAUCACGUUCAAGCCCAGAAAGGUAGUAAGAACAAUCAUUAAAAUAGUCCAUGCGGCAUCAGUGAUGGACAGCGUUGCUGUCUAUGCAGGGUCAGAAAGCUCUCGGAUUUUAUCGAUAGCUUAGUUUGUGUUCUGAAGAUGAAUGAAGGUCUUACAGGUUUGGAACGACACAAGGGUAAUUAAUUACAGAAUUUUCAUUUUUGGGUGAACUGUCCCUUUAACGUAGCAUACACACUGCUUUUCUAUAAGCUUAAGCAGCACUUAAAAGCUUUAUAAACUUUGAAUCUAUAACUCUAACUUUCUGUACUCUUUAAAUAAAUUCUUUCAAAAGGACA
Long non-coding RNA from Cyprinus carpio (common carp), 1131 nucleotides. The record is from Ensembl. Lineage: Eukaryota; Metazoa; Chordata; Actinopteri; Cypriniformes; Cyprinidae.